Molecule: long non-coding RNA, 732 nt
Organism: Mesocricetus auratus (golden hamster)
Lineage: Eukaryota; Metazoa; Chordata; Mammalia; Rodentia; Cricetidae
Exons: 2
Source: RefSeq, a predicted model, not a curated record
AUGGUAUCACAAAUACUUAGUUUCUCGAUCCAGAUCUCCUUAAGCUCCUUAAGCAUGGUGCUGUCUCUCCAGGGUGGCUUCCUGACUUCUGGAAGGAGCGAGAGGCCAGCCUGGAAGGAAAGGAAAGAGAAAGAUGGGAAUAACAUGCCUAGUGUACCUGGAAGUCAGAAGAAGUCAUUGGAUCCCUGGAUCUGGAGUCACAAGCACUUCUGAACCACCAUAUGGCUGCUGUGAAUUGAACCCAGGUUCUUGGUUAAGAACCUCAAGUGCUCUUAGCCCCUUGAGCAAUCUCUUCUGCCCAACCCAAUUCCAGUCUUACAGAGCAGGAAUUUGCAUGCUCUAAUAUCAGCUCCAUCCUCCUCUGUCAGGUGCCUCCAGCUGCGGCUGCCUCAAGUACUCAUAGAAAACACUUGAAUCAAUCCUCAUAGAGUACGUGACUCCGGACCACCCUGCUACCUCUGCUAAAUUCCACAAACUGGCCUGAAGCUUAAUUAUCAGUUAAAGAUUAGCUCAACAGAAGACCCCCAAGUCUGCCAGGAGAUAGGCUUGCACAAUAGGGAAAGAUUGAGAUAGAUAAAGUAAGGACCUAUGGUCAGGUUACCUAGCAACACAGGAGGUUCUACCCAUGUCCUUUUGCCCUGACAGCUUCCUUGAAGCUGCCCCUCCUUGCUUUCUCCUCCACGCCCUUUAAAUAUACCUUGGAAAGAAUAAAAUUCUGCCACGUUGAUCAGA